Molecule: transfer RNA, 90 nt
Filed under: Photobacterium kishitanii
Lineage: Bacteria; Pseudomonadati; Pseudomonadota; Gammaproteobacteria; Vibrionales; Vibrionaceae
Description: tRNA-Asn
Source: RNAcentral
UCCCUCUUAGUUCAGUUGGUGCUCUUUAUUGGGAAGAUUAGCGGACGGUUAAUUCACAUGUCACUGGUUCAAGUCCAGUAGAGGGAGCCA